RNAcentral lists this ribosomal RNA (468 nucleotides) under uncultured bacterium. Its description in RNAcentral is "partial 16S ribosomal RNA". It matches the Rfam family "Bacterial small subunit ribosomal RNA", at positions 28 to 507 of the family's 1533-position model. The record is from RNAcentral.
GACGAACGCUGGCGGCGUGCUUAACACAUGCAAGUCGAACGGAAAGGCCCUGCCUUUGUGGGGUGCCCGAAUGGCGAACGGGUGCGUAACACGUGAGUAACCUGCCCUUGACUUUGGGAUAACUUCAGGAAACUGGGGCUAAUACCGGACAGUAGCUCCUGCUGCAUGGUGGGGGUUGGACAGUUUCGGCGGUUUGGAUUGGGCUCGCGGCUUGUCAGCUUGUUGGUCGAGCAGUGGGUUACCAAGGCUUCGAUGGGUAGCCGGCCUGAGGGGGUGAGCGACCACAUUGGGAGUGAGAGACGCGCAACACGCCAACAGAAGGCAGCAGUGAGGAAUGUUGGACAAUAGGAGGAAGACUGGUGUAGCAACGCCGCGUGGGGGAUGAGCGCCUACGACUUAUAAGCCAAUUUCGCCGGUGAUGAAUCGUGAGUGGCAGUAAUAGGUAGAGAAGCACCGGCUAACUACGUG